AGUGAAGCGGCAAAAGCUCAAAUUUGAAAUCUGGCGUCUUCGACGUCCGAGUUGUAAUUUGAAGAAGGUAACUUUGUAGCUGGUCCUUGUCUAUGUUCCUUGGAACAGGACGUCAUAGAGGGUGAGAAUCCCGUGUGGCGAGGAUCCCAGUUAUUUGUAAAGUGCUUUCGACGAGUCGAGUUGUUUGGGAAUGCAGCUCUAAGUGGGUGGUAAAUUCCAUCUAAAGCUAAAUAUUGGCGAGAGACCGAUAGCGAACAAGUACAGUGAUGGAAAGAUGAAAAGAACUUUGAAAAGAGAGUGAAAAAGUACGUGAAAUUGUUGAAAGGGAAGGGCAUUUGAUCAGACAUGGCGUUUGCUUCGGCUUUCGCUGGGCCAGCAUCAGUUUUAGCGGUUGGAUAAAUCCUCGGGAAUGUGGCUCUGCUUCGGUAGAGUGUUAUAGCCCGUGGGAAUACAGCCAGCUGGGACUGAGGAUUGCGACUUUUGUCAAGGAUGCUGGCGUAAUGGUUAAAUGCCGCCCGUCUUGAAACACGGACCA
RNAcentral lists this ribosomal RNA (535 nucleotides) under Kluyveromyces sp. 5s-1. RNAcentral's name for it is "eukaryotic LSU rRNA". It matches the Rfam family "Eukaryotic large subunit ribosomal RNA", at positions 92 to 668 of the family's 3401-position model. Lineage: Eukaryota; Fungi; Ascomycota; Saccharomycetes; Saccharomycetales; Saccharomycetaceae. The record is from RNAcentral.